GCUGUGACUGAAUCGAUGAUUGAGAGGGUCGUCUCGACGAAAGAUAUAGAAAUUUGGCCAUAGUUUAGAUUAGGAAUACGUCAAUGUAAUAAUAGUGGACUAAAUGUUUCGUCCGUGCAGAAUGGCACUUUUUACCUCACGAAAUUCACCACCAUGCAUAGCUGCGCUACGUAAACAAAGUUGUUGAUGUAGCGUGAUCGUCAUGUCCGAGUGCUGCGAGUUUCAAUACUGUUUAUGUAGUCAUUGAGAGUUUAAACAAAGUUUCUUCUGAGAAGAGGAAUUCGAUGGAUGCAUUCAACGUGGACAACGAAAUCAUAAUUUCGUUUGCAUCAUCCUAAGGACCAGUGCAAGUUGAAAUGGGCUUCCAGCCAACAGCUUCAACAGCAAUUUGCCAUGAAAAUCAGCAAGAAAGGUACUUCAUUUACAUUGAUGAUGUCAUAUCCCCUGGACCCCACAACUUUACAGGUUACAGAGAAAAUUCAAGAACUUCUGCAAAAUGUGGGACUUGGAUAGAAUCAAUAAUGUAUUUGUGAGCCCAGAGCAAUGGAUAUAUUGUGCAACAUACUAAAGUGUGAAUUUAAUGGAAAACAAGUACAUGUACUCAUGUAUUACAUGUCUUUUUUAAAGACAAUAAUAUUGUAUAAAUAUA
This is a long non-coding RNA of Ostrea edulis (European flat oyster), 649 nucleotides long. RefSeq lists it as uncharacterized. The transcript has 3 exons. The record is from RefSeq and is a predicted model, not a curated record. Lineage: Eukaryota; Metazoa; Mollusca; Bivalvia; Ostreida; Ostreidae.